This 339-nucleotide ribosomal RNA is filed under the name Triticum aestivum (bread wheat). RNAcentral's name for it is "partial small subunit ribosomal RNA". The record is from RNAcentral. Lineage: Eukaryota; Viridiplantae; Streptophyta; Magnoliopsida; Poales; Poaceae.
AUGAAAAACUUUGUGAAACAGUAUGUUCAAUCAUGCCUUGUUUGCCAGCAGGCUAAACCAGAAAGGGUAGCUUACCCAGGUUUGCUCUCUCCUCUGCCAGUGCCAACUAGAGCUUGGGAUACAGUAACCAUGGAUUUCAUUUCCGGUUCGCCUCAUUCUGACCAGUUUGACUGCAUCAUGGUUGUGAUUGAUAAGUUCACGAAGUAUGGCCAUUUUAUACCAGUGAAACACCCUUACAAUGCACAGAAAAUUGCAGAACUGUUCUUGGAUAACAUCUACAAACUACACGGUAUGCCCCGGCUGAUUUUUUCAGACAGGGAUCCGGUUUUCACUAGUUAG